This 73-nucleotide transfer RNA is filed under the name Candidatus Magasanikiibacteriota bacterium. Its description in RNAcentral is "tRNA-Ile". It matches the Rfam family "tRNA". From Rfam's summary of the family: Transfer RNA (tRNA) molecules are approximately 80 nucleotides in length. Their secondary structure includes four short double-helical elements and three loops (D, anti-codon, and T loops). The record is from RNAcentral. Lineage: Bacteria; Candidatus Magasanikiibacteriota.
GCGCCCAUAGCUCAGGGGUUAGAGCACGUCACUUAUAAUGACGGGGUCGAUGGUUCAAGCCCAUCUGGGCGCA